RNAcentral lists this ribosomal RNA (53 nucleotides) under Brassaiopsis fatsioides. RNAcentral describes it as "partial 26S ribosomal RNA". Lineage: Eukaryota; Viridiplantae; Streptophyta; Magnoliopsida; Apiales; Araliaceae. The record is from RNAcentral. RNAcentral also lists the same sequence under 1 other name.
CCCAGGUCAGGCGGGACUACCCGCUGAGUUUAAGCAUAUCAUUAAGCGGAGGA